Molecule: long non-coding RNA, 1437 nt
Filed under: Chloebia gouldiae (Gouldian finch)
Lineage: Eukaryota; Metazoa; Chordata; Aves; Passeriformes; Passeridae
Description: Erythrura gouldiae (Gouldian finch) lncRNA (ENSEGOG00005016243.1)
Source: RNAcentral
GAGCUCCUGGAACGCAGCUCCUCUGGAGAGGCUGAGCUCAGCCCGCAUUCCCGGGAGCAGCCGCCGCCUGGAGCUGGGGAAACUGAGGCAGAAGGUGCCCAGGAUGGGGUGAGUUGGGGACGCGGGACAGCUCCGCGUCCCCACCCCGUGAGGGCUCGGCUGCGGUGGGGCCGUGCUGGCAGCGCUGUGCCCUGUCCCAGCACGGCCACUCUGUGUCCCACAGCCCCUGCAGAGCCUUCAGCCUCCCCAGGACCUUCGGCUUCCUCCGGGAUCCGCAGCAGAGCCCGAGGCUCGGCCCAGCCUGGCUUCUCCUGGUGCCCGCAGCACCCCAGAGCCCUCCCCGGGGCCCCCGCGCUCGCCUGGGGCCGCUGAGACGAACCCGGUACGGGCUCCGGGUGCCCCCCAAGCACCCCCGGCGUCCCCCGGGGCUUGGGGACGCUGCCACAGCCAGAGGGGUCCCUGUGGCCUGCAGGAGCCGGGCUUGAAGGCUUUGUCUGGGGGCAGAGCCCGUGUCGGCCCCGCUGGGACGCCGCUGAACGGGACACGGCCGGGAAAAAAGCCAGGGAAGUGACCCGAGGCUCGGGGCUGCUGGAGCGUGAGCAGCCCUGCGCUGGAGGCAGCCGAGGAGAACCCUCCGGAGCAGCUUAAUUACUGCUAACGAGGGAGAGAAGUUGGGGCAGGACGGGAGCGAGGGGCAGCUCCGGCACCUGAGGGAAGGGUGACAAACCAGAGGCUCCUUGCACAGGGUGACCAGUCCCCGGCUAGUGACCAGCACUGGCAGCCCCAGUUUGGCUCAGUCCCUUUCACCUCUGAGCCUUCCUCGCCUUUUCCACCUCCCAGGCUGUGUCUGGCCAGCAUCAGCUCUGCUCCGUGCUCCCGACGCCGUUCCCGGCCGGCAUCGAUUCCCGCUCCGCCGCCAUCCUCAGGAGGAAGGCAGAGAUCGAGCUGUCGUACCAGCAGUUCAGCCUGAGCAUCGCCGUGGUGGCCACGAUGCUGCUGCAGAAGGAGCCCUCGAUGGAGGCGGCGCUGGGGCUGGCGCUCAGGGCCAACCUCCGCCAGUGCCUCACGCACCACCUGCAGCAGCUGGAGGAUUUCAUCGACAGCCUCGACUCGGACACUGCCAGCCUCUGAUGGCAGCCACCCCCUCCUGCCAGCUGGGGGUGACGGGGGCCAGGACAGCGCUUUGGGGGGCUCAGGAGGGUGCUGAGCCUGCGCAACGAGGUGGGAGAUGUUGGCAGCCCCACUCUGUCUCCUGGAGAAGGAGGGUGAGCAGGAUAUGUUUGGGUUUAGCCCUGCCCAAACCCGUGAGGGCAGCAAAAGUGUUACUGGUUUUACUGGAGGGAGGGCAGCAGUCCCUCUCCUCCAUUCCUGAUUGCCAGGAAUGUGUUCCCAAACCCCAGCGAGUGUUUCUGGGUUUAAAUAUUCAAAUAAACCGUG